GAUGAACGCUAGCGGCAGGCUUAAUACAUGCAAGUCGAGGGGCAGCGCGGUAGCAAUACCUGGCGGCGACCGGCGCACGGGUGCGUAACACGUAUGCAACCUACCUUAAACUGGGGAAUAGCCCCUCGAAAGAGGGAUUAAUGCCCCAUAACACUGUGAAGAGGCAUCUUUUACAUUUAAAGCUCCGGCGGUUUAAGAUGGGCAUGCGCGACAUUAGCUAGUUGGUGAGGUAACGGCUCACCAAGGCUGUGAUGUCUAGGGGUUCUGAGAGGAAAAUCCCCCACACUGGUACUGAGACACGGACCAGACUCCUACGGGAGGCAGCAGUGGGGAAUAUUGGGCAAUGGGCGAAAGCCUUACCCAGCAAUGCCGCGUGUGUGAAGAAGGUCUUCGGAUUGUAAAGCACUAUAUUGGGGAAGAACACAAUGACGGUACCCAAGAGAAAAAGCCCCGGCUAACUAUGUG
This 465-nucleotide ribosomal RNA is filed under the name uncultured bacterium. RNAcentral describes it as "bacterial SSU rRNA". It matches the Rfam family "Bacterial small subunit ribosomal RNA", at positions 28 to 507 of the family's 1533-position model. The record is from RNAcentral.